Molecule: unclassified non-coding RNA, 253 nt
Filed under: uncultured bacterium
Lineage: Bacteria
Description: contains 16S-23S intergenic spacer region
Rfam family: Bacterial small subunit ribosomal RNA
Source: RNAcentral
UACGGGGAGGGCAAGCGUUACUCGUCAUAACUGGGCGUAAAGGGUGGGUAGGCAGCAAUAUAAGUUAAAUGCGAAAGAUUUAGUGGAAACUUUAGAUGUUAUUUAAUACUAUUUUGCUAGAGUACGACUGAAGAUAGCGGUACUUUUAAUGUAGAGGUGGCAUUCGACGAUAUUAAAAGGACCAUCAAUUUGCGAAAGCGGCUAUCUACACCGUAACUGACGCUGAACCAGGAAAGCAUGGGUAGCAAACGGG